This 119-nucleotide ribosomal RNA is filed under the name Pteropus alecto (black flying fox). The record is from RNAcentral. Lineage: Eukaryota; Metazoa; Chordata; Mammalia; Chiroptera; Pteropodidae.
GUCUAUGGCCAUGCCAUCCUGAACAAGCCCGAUCCCGUCUGAUCUCAGAAGCUAAGCAGGGUCGGGCCUGGUUAGUACUUGGAUGGGAGACCACCUAGGAAGACCAGGUGCUGUAGGCU